AAGGUCUCCGUUGGUGAACCAGNGGAGGGAUCAUUA
This 36-nucleotide ribosomal RNA is filed under the name Magnaporthiopsis poae. RNAcentral describes it as "partial 18S ribosomal RNA". Lineage: Eukaryota; Fungi; Ascomycota; Sordariomycetes; Magnaporthales; Magnaporthaceae. The record is from RNAcentral.